Molecule: ribosomal RNA, 490 nt
Filed under: uncultured bacterium
Lineage: Bacteria
Description: partial 16S ribosomal RNA
Rfam family: Bacterial small subunit ribosomal RNA
Source: RNAcentral
GAUGAACGCUAGCGAUAGGCUUAACACAUGCAAGUCGAGGGGCAGCAUGGUCUUAGCUUGCUAAGACUGAUGGCGACCGGCGCACGGGUGCGUAACGCGUAUGCAACUUGCCUCACAGAGGGGGAUAACCCGUCGAAAGACGGACUAAUACCGCGUACACUUGGGAUAGGGCAUCCUGACCCAAGGAAAUGAAAUUCGCUGUGAGAUAGGCAUGCGUCCCAUUAGCUAGUUGGUGAGGUAACGGCUCACCAAGGCGACGAUGGGUAGGGGAACUGAGAGGUGGAAACCCCACACUGGUACUGAGACACGGACCAGACUCCUACGGGAGGCAGCAGUGAGGAAUAGUGGUCAAUGGGCGAGAGCCUGAACCAGCCAAGUCGCGUGAAGGAUGACUGUCUUAUGGAUUGUAAACUUCUUUUAUACGGGAAUAACAAGAGUCACGUGUGGCUCCCUGCAUGUACCGGAUGAAUAAGCAUCGGCUAACUCCGUG